UGUAUGGAAAUGCCUGGGUGACCAGAAA
RNAcentral lists this non-coding RNA (28 nucleotides) under Homo sapiens (human). Lineage: Eukaryota; Metazoa; Chordata; Mammalia; Primates; Hominidae. The record is from RNAcentral.